UCUCACAAUAUUGGUUCUCUCUCUCUCUUUAUCCUCACUCUACCGAUUCUCUCUCUCUCUCUAUCCUCACUCUACCAUCGGCUCUCUCUCCCUUCGUUCGGCUGAGGGCGGCGCCGCCUCCGGCGCGCCGCCUCGCCGUCGCCUCCGCUCUCUCUCUCGCUCGAUUCCGGCCGCCUCUUCUUCCUCCAAGAUCUGCCGCCGCCGCCUGCUCUAACCUCGGCGAGAAUCGCCGGCUCCGACGCCUCCCUCACUCAUCGCCUCCUCCUUCUCACCUCAACCUCUAUCUCUCUCGCUCUCUCGGCCGCUGGAAGUCAGCCGCACGCCGCCGCCUUGGGUGUUCACGGCCAUCGCCUGGCCGUGGAAGAGCACGGCCGCCGCCGUUCGUCGUCGGAUUCGCUGUGAGGAGCCGAGCACCGUCUCACAAAGAUCGGAGACAACGGCAGGUUCACCGCCGCCGCUCCGUCGCCGGCGACGAGCCACCGCGGCUGCCGCCUCCCUCUGAUUUCGACUCACACACACACAGUAGGUUCAAGCCACAAUUUCAGUCAUAGCAUAGAUGAUUUGAGCAAAAUUCAUACAUAGUCAGGAAAUAAUUAUCUCUAUAUGUCCAUGUAAAAAGUCAAGAUCUUUAAUUGUUCUUCAAUUAAUCACACUGCAUAUAAACACCUCACUUGCAAAUUCAGCCUUUCGAACAUCAAUGUUAAAACGAGUUUAUACACAAGUUGUAUGCACAUAAAGAGGAAUAUGAGCAGUUGUAUGCGUUGGUGGUUCUUUUGGAGUUAUGAACUUGAUACAAGAAAUGGAGUAUUUCGAUUUAGAAA
This is a long non-coding RNA of Salvia miltiorrhiza (redroot sage), 821 nucleotides long. RefSeq lists it as uncharacterized. The transcript is spliced from 2 exons. The record is from RefSeq and is a predicted model, not a curated record. NCBI's taxonomy places the organism in Eukaryota, Viridiplantae, Streptophyta, Magnoliopsida, Lamiales, Lamiaceae.